Hypomesus transpacificus is the source of this 212-nucleotide long non-coding RNA. RefSeq lists it as uncharacterized. The record is from RefSeq and is a predicted model, not a curated record. The transcript has 3 exons. NCBI's taxonomy places the organism in Eukaryota, Metazoa, Chordata, Actinopteri, Osmeriformes, Osmeridae.
AGGUCUUUAUGCUCUGGUUAUGCAUCUGAGUAUCCUGGAAGCAUUAAAUCAGAAAUGUCUUCUGAUGUAAAAGGAGCAGGACCAGGUUUGAAGCUAUCUGUAGGUCGAUCUACAUCAUCUUUGUCGUCUGAUCACUCACAAAAUACAGGGAAAAUACUGUGUGACAUCUAGUCAGAGCUCAAGGCAGUGAAGACCUGUGUGACCUGUAGGAU